This 440-nucleotide ribosomal RNA is filed under the name uncultured bacterium. RNAcentral's name for it is "partial 16S ribosomal RNA". It matches the Rfam family "Bacterial small subunit ribosomal RNA", at positions 338 to 795 of the family's 1533-position model. The record is from RNAcentral.
CCUACGGGAGGCAGCAGUAGGGAAUCUUCGGCAAUGGAGGCAAGCCUGAUGCAGCGACGCCGCGUGAGUGAAGAAGUAUUUCGGUAUGUAAAGCUCUAUCAGCAGAGAAGAACAUGACGGUACCUGACUAAGAAGCCCCGGCUAACUACGUGCCAGCAGCCGCGGUAAUACGUAGGGGGCACGCGUUAUCCGGAUUUACUGGGGGUAAAGGGAGCGUAGACGGUGCAGCAAGUCUGAUGUGAAAGGUCGGGGCCCAACCCCGGGACUGCAUUGGAAACUGUUGAUCUGGAGUACAGGAGAGGUAAGCGGAAGUCCGAGUGUAGCGGUGAAAUGCGUAGAUAUUAGGAGGAACACCAGUGGCGAAGGCGGCUUACUGGACUGUAACUGACGUUGAGGCUCGAAAGCGUGGGGAGCAAACAGGAUUAGAUACCCCAGUAGUC